AAAACCCCAACACCCCCCCUCAAGUUGGAGGGGAGGAUGAAACACCCAACUUGUCCAAUAAUCUAUGGUGAAUCGGGCCAGUGAGGGACUUCGUAAACAGAUCUGCAAGUUGCGAAGUCGAUUUGACAUAAGAGAGUGAAAUCAGACCAGCGAGGUACUGUUGACGGACGAAGUGACAAUCAAUUUCAACGUGCUUCGUCCGUUCGUGAAAUACGGGGUUCUUUGCUAUGUGGAUGGCUGCAAGACUGUCGGAAUGGAGUGGAAUCGGCAAAGAAAUUGGAACGGAGAGAUCCUCAAAUAAUCGUACUAACCAGGUGCCCCAGUCGGAGUCACAGAAGGCGAGCAAUUUGUAGCAUGAGGAGGAGGACAUGAACAAACCAAGACCGGGAUCCCUCAAAAGAUAUCGCAAAACCCGAAAUGCAGCAGCAAGAUGUGGUUCACGAGGAUCUUGCAUAAAUUGGCUCAAAUGCUGCACGGUGAAAGAUAAGUCUGGUCUCGUGUGAGUAAGGUCAGACCAGAGGACUUGUGCACUUUGGGAGUACAACACACUUUCAGCAAUUUCUUUUGAUAAAGAGUUGAGCAACCAAGAGAGCACCAUGUUGUUGCAUCUUUCCCAAGCUUUCUGGAGUCCAGAGUCAACAGCUGGAACAGUUAGAGAUCCAUCAAUGAAUCCUAACUUGUUCUUAGCUGAAAGGGCUAUGAUAACAGCCCUCCUCCAGCCUCCAUAGCUUCUACCAGCAAAAAGAGCACCCACCAGGUUCAUUCCUGGAUAAUCUGAUGGGUGAAUGUAGUAUGGAUGAGAUGAAUCCACAACAUUAGUUGUAGUGGAUCCAUCAGUCCUUUCAAUAGAAGAAGAAAUAUUUUCUGGUGUGGGUAUUCCAUCUCCAGACAUUGUAAAAUAGUGUAUAGAUUCAAAAAAUGCAGAAAAGAAAGAUCAGUGUAAUUGUAAAUUAAGAACAGAAAAUAGAAUUGUAAAUAUGACUGAAAUUAGACCUGCUCUGAUACCAUGAUAAAAUAAAUGAAGAACAGUGUAUGAAAAUUUCUUGUUGUAUUUUCUGUGUGUCUUUUCU
Long non-coding RNA from Lycium ferocissimum, 1070 nucleotides. RefSeq lists it as uncharacterized. NCBI's taxonomy places the organism in Eukaryota, Viridiplantae, Streptophyta, Magnoliopsida, Solanales, Solanaceae. The record is from RefSeq and is a predicted model, not a curated record. The transcript is spliced from 3 exons.